RNAcentral lists this long non-coding RNA (1500 nucleotides) under Apteryx haastii (Great spotted kiwi). RNAcentral's name for it is "lncRNA (ENSAHAG00000008300.1)". The record is from RNAcentral. Lineage: Eukaryota; Metazoa; Chordata; Aves; Apterygiformes; Apterygidae.
AGGUGGCUCCAGGCCUUGACGUCCCCUUGGGUCCAGGUGGCUCCAGGCCUUGACGUCCCCAUGGGUCCAGGUGGCCCCGGGUCUCGGUGUCCCCCCGGGUCUAGGCGGUGCAGGCGGGCGGGGGGCUGGCGCGGGGUGACGCCGGGGGGCUGGUGGCCCCCUGCGUGUCCCCGUCCUCGCAGUCCGCCAGCGGCUCCUGCCGCGGCCCGCCGCCCCCCGAGCCUUCGGCCUCCUCGUCCUCGUCCUCCUCCUCAUCCUCCUCCUCGUCCUCGGGGCUGGGCGGCUCCGGGGCGCCUGCGGGGACCCGGGCUCAGCGGACGUGUCCCCUCGUGUCCCCCCCCCGCUGCCAGCUCCUGUCCCUAUGUGUGUCCCCCCCACCGUGUCCCCGUGUCCCCCAUGCCCCCAUUCCCAGGUGUCCCCAUGUCCCUGUGUCCCCAUGUCCCCAUGUCCCUGUGUUCCCAUGUCCCCGUGCCCCCAUGUCCCCCAUGCCCCCAUUCCCAGGUGUCCCCAUGUCCCUGUGUUCCCAUGUCCCCAUUCCCAGGUGUCCCUGUGUCCCCAUGUCCCCAUGCCCAGGUGUCCCCCCGCCCCGUCCCCUCGCCAUGCAGGGCCACCGUGUGUCCCCAUUCGCCCGCCGGGCGCAGUCCCCGUGUCCCCCCAGUGCCACCCAGGGUCCCCGUGUCCCCAUGCAAUGUCGGAUCCUGGCAUCCCUGUCCCAUGCAGCGUCCCUGUGUCCCCCCCAUGUCCCUGUGUCCCUGUGCACUCACUGGAUCCCAGCAUCCCCGUGCCACGCAGUGUCCCUAUGUCCCCCCAUGUCCCCUGUGUCCCCAUGUCCCCCUACACUCACCGGGUUCCGGCAUCCCUGCACCACGCAGUGUCCCCAUGUCCCUGUGCCACGCGGUGUCCCUCCACCAUGCAGCGUCCCUGUGUCCCCCCACGUCCCCAUGUCCCCAUGCACUCACCAGGUCCCAGCAUCCCUGUGCCACGCAGUGUCCCCAUGUCCCUGUGCCACACAGUGUCCCUGCACCAUGCAGUGUCCCCACGUCCCCCCCAUGUCCCUGCGUCCCCACGUCCCUGUGCACUCAUUGGGUCCCAGUGUCCCUGUGCCAUGCAGUGUCCCUGCGCCAUGCAGCAUCUCCGCAUCCCCCCAUGUCCCUGCGUCCCUGAGUCCCUGUGCGCUCACUGGGUCCUGGCAUCCCUGCACCACGCAGUGUCCCCAUGUCCCCCCAUGUCCCUGCGUCCCCGUGUCCCCGUCUAGUCACUGGGUCCCGGCAUCCCUGUGCCACGCAGUGUCCCCAUGUCCCUGUGCCAUGCAGUGUCCCUGCACCAUGCAGCGUCCCUGUGCCAUGCAGUGUCCCCAUGUCCCCCCGCGUCCCCCUGCACUCACCGGGUCCUGGCAUCCCUGCGCCAUGCAGGGUCCCCACGUCCCCCCGCGUCCCCCCGCGUCCCCCCGCACUCACCGGGCGGCGGCGGGCGGCAGGCGCGCAGCAGGGCCCCCCGCGC